AGAGGGGUGCAAGCGUUAAUCGGAAUUACUGGGCGUAAAGGCGCGUAGGUUGUAAGUUAAGUUAGAUGUGAAAUUUCCGGGGCUUAACCUGGAGAGGUCAUCUAAAACUGGCUAACUAGAGUACAGUAGAGGGAAGAGGAAUUUCCGGUGUAGCGGUGAAAUGCGUAGAUAUCGGAAGGAACAUCAGUGGCGAAGGCGUCUUCCUGGACUGAUACUGACACUGAGGCGCGAAAGCGUGGGUAGCGAACAGGAUUAGAUACCCUGGUAGUCCACGCCGUAAACGAUGAGAACUAGCUGUUGGGCACGCGAGUGUUUAGUAGCGCAGCUAACGCGAUAAGUUCUCCGCCUGGGGAGUACGGCCGCAAGGUUA
RNAcentral lists this ribosomal RNA (370 nucleotides) under uncultured organism. RNAcentral's name for it is "partial 16S ribosomal RNA". It matches the Rfam family "Bacterial small subunit ribosomal RNA", at positions 526 to 896 of the family's 1533-position model. The record is from RNAcentral.